AUUGAACGCUGGCGGCAGGCCUAACACAUGCAAGUCGAGCGGAUGCAGGGAGCUUGCUCCUGGAUUCAGCGGCGGACGGGUGAGUAAUGCCUAGGAAUCUGCCUGGUAGUGGGGGAUAACGUCCGGAAACGGGCGCUAAUACCGCAUACGUCCUGAGGGAGAAAGUGGGGGAUCUUCGGACCUCACGCUAUCAGAUGAGCCUAGGUCGGAUUAGCUAGUUGGUGGGGUAAAGGCCUACCAAGGCGACGAUCCGUAACUGGUCUGAGAGGAUGAUCAGUCACACUGGAACUGAGACACGGUCCAGACUCCUACGGGAGGCAGCAGUGGGGAAUAUUGGACAAUGGGCGAAAGCCUGAUCCAGCCAUGCCGCGUGUGUGAAGAAGGUCUUCGGAUUGUAAAGCACUUUAAGUUGGGAGGAAGGGCAGUAAGUUAAUACCUUGCUGUUUUGACGGUACCAACAGAAUAAGCACCGGCUAACUUCGUG
This 484-nucleotide ribosomal RNA is filed under the name uncultured bacterium. RNAcentral's name for it is "partial 16S ribosomal RNA". It matches the Rfam family "Bacterial small subunit ribosomal RNA", at positions 30 to 507 of the family's 1533-position model. The record is from RNAcentral.